GGUAGCUCAGUUGGAUAGAGCACUCGCCUUCUAAGCGAGUGGUCGCGGGUUCGAAUCCCUCCC
RNAcentral lists this transfer RNA (63 nucleotides) under uncultured Bulleidia sp. It matches the Rfam family "tRNA", at positions 6 to 65 of the family's 71-position model. Rfam says of the family: Transfer RNA (tRNA) molecules are approximately 80 nucleotides in length. Their secondary structure includes four short double-helical elements and three loops (D, anti-codon, and T loops). Lineage: Bacteria; Bacillati; Bacillota; Erysipelotrichia; Erysipelotrichales; Erysipelotrichaceae. The record is from RNAcentral.